Molecule: ribosomal RNA, 82 nt
Filed under: Cyclophorus formosaensis
Lineage: Eukaryota; Metazoa; Mollusca; Gastropoda; Architaenioglossa; Cyclophoridae
Also listed under: 10 other names
Description: partial 5.8S ribosomal RNA
Rfam family: 5.8S ribosomal RNA (bases 1-73)
About the family: 5.8S ribosomal RNA (5.8S rRNA) is a component of the large subunit of the eukaryotic ribosome.
Source: RNAcentral
CAUUGAACAUCGACAUUUUGAACGCAUAUUGCGGCCAAGAGUCCCUCUCUUGGCCACGCCCGUCUGAGGGUCGGCUAAGUCU